This 1002-nucleotide ribosomal RNA is filed under the name uncultured Campylobacterales bacterium. RNAcentral's name for it is "bacterial SSU rRNA". It matches the Rfam family "Bacterial small subunit ribosomal RNA", at positions 9 to 1022 of the family's 1533-position model. The record is from RNAcentral. Lineage: Bacteria; Pseudomonadati; Campylobacterota; Epsilonproteobacteria; Campylobacterales.
GAGUUUGAUCGUGGCUCAGAGUGAACGCUGGCGGCGUGCUUAACACAUGCAAGUCGAACGAGAACGGGUUAUAGCUUGCUAUAAUUGUCAGCUAAGUGGCGCACGGAUGAGUAAUGUAUAGGUAAUAUGCCUUUUACUAAGGGAUAACAGAUGGAAACGUUUGCUAAUACCUUAUACUCCGUUUAUGUAUAAAUGUAAAUGGGAAAGAUUUAUCGGUAAGAGAUUGGCCUGUAUUGUAUCAGUUAGUUGGUGGGGUAAUGGCCUACCAAGACAAUGACGCAUAACUGGUUUGAGAGGAUGAUCAGUCACACUGGAACUGAGACACGGUCCAGACUCCUACGGGAGGCAGCAGUGGGGAAUAUUGCACAAUGGACGGAAGUCUGAUGCAGCAACGCCGCGUGGAGGAUGACACAUUUCGGUGCGUAAACUCCUUUUAUAUAAGAAGAUAAUGACGGUAAUAUAUGAAUAAGCACCGGCUAACUCCGUGCCAGCAGCCGCGGUAAUACGGGGGGUGCAAGCGUUACUCGGAAUCACUGGGCGUAAAGAGCAUGUAGGCGGAUUGAUAAGUUUGAAGUGAAAUCCUAUAGCUUAACUAUAGAACUGCUUUGAAAACUGUUAAUCUAGAAUGUGGGAGAGGUAGAUGGAAUUUCUGGUGUAGGGGUAAAAUCCGUAGAGAUCAGAAGGAAUACCGAUUGCGAAGGCGAUCUACUAGAACACUAUUGACGCUGAGAUGCGAAAGCGUGGGGAGCAAACAGGAUUAGAUACCCUGGUAGUCCACGCCCUAAACGAUGUACACUAGUUGUUGUGAGACUAGAUCUUGCAGUAAUGCAGUUAACACAUUAAGUGUACCGCCUGGGGAGUACGGUCGCAAGAUUAAAACUCAAAGGAAUAGACGGGGACCCGCACAAGCGGUGGAGCAUGUGGUUUAAUUCGACGAUACACGAAGAACCUUACCUGGACUUGACAUAGUAAGAAUGAUUUAGAGAUGAAUUAGUGUCUGCU